AUGACAAUGGACUUUGGGAAUGGCAGGGGUCUUCGAAUCAAUCGUGAUGCAGUUCAUCACAUUUUUGGUUUUCCUAUGGGACAUCGCACUGCACCCAUACCUGCUACUAGUGGCCAUGAUGAGUCGUUGACUGCCCUCAAGGAUGAGAUUGUCUUUGACUGUUCACAAAGUAUUGGUGUCAUGGACUUGGUUCAAAAGCUGGCGGUGUUAGUGGAGGAUGAUGAUCCUGUCAUGGUUGAUCUUGCUCUCAAGGUAUUCUUCCUGAUACUUUAUCAGAAUUUGAUGUGCCCCAUGCUUGCAAUUCAUUUGGGCAAGGUUGCUGCCAUGGUUAAGAACAUGGAUUAUGCUGCUAUGGCGCAGAUGGACUUUUGUCAGCUUGUUCUUGAUGAGAUGCAGGUAGCUGUUGUGAAGUGGCAGACAGAAGGUAGCAAGAAGAAUUGUGCCGAGGGUUGUGACAUUGUCCCCCUGAUUAUGUAUCUUGAUUGCAUGAAGCUUCGCAAAUUUUUGGUUAUGCACACGUUGAUGCCACAUGCGUCAUUCCUGACGAACAAGGACCUGAUGAAGUUAUACAACAAGGAUAUGCUUGUCAAGCAAAAGAUUUAUCUCGAAACUUACAAAUUUGAGAGGUUGCCGGCGUUAGGCGAUAUUGUGUACAAGUGUCCUAACGCAGUGCUAUGUGGCAGCUCUGAUGCGGAGCCUAGCAGUCAAGCUAAGUUCUAUGAGCGUAUCUAUAGCCAGCUUCCUGCCCGUGAUGAUGAGGCGCCACCUACUCGUGGUUUCAUGGCUCGUCGGAUGUUUGAUAAUAGAAGCUCUUCUAAACAGACAUUUGUUGGUGGAAAAAAGCACGAGGAGAUUGAUGAGCUUCUUCCGAAGGUUUUGAAGUUAACUGAAGAUUUGCCAGCCUCUGAUGACAGGUUGAGGACAGUUGCUGGAUUUUUCCCUGCUGGCCACGGCCCCCGUGAAGAAUAUAUUGUUGCUGCUCACAACUUUGAUUGUGGUGUGGUUGAAAGCUUGAAGAUUGCAGUGACGAAUACUUGGUCUUCAUAUGCUCAGCUGAAACAUUCACAGGAAGAAAUAUGUGCUCGGUUUGAGAAGGAUGUUGGGCAUAUUUUGGAACAAAUGAACCGACAGGACGCUGGCGUCGGUGCUGAUAAUGCUGUAGUGGAAUCUGCUGGUGUUCAUGCGUCUAGGGACGAUGGAAUUGGUCAUACUGGAGUUGCUGCUUGUGAUGUGCACAAGGAUUCUUCCGACGGUUCUGAGAAGGAUGAGGACUUGGCUGAUACGUCAUCCCGUCCAGAUGUUGCAGUUGAUAAGUUUUUACAGCCUGGAGAUGAAAAUGUAGAAGUUCAUCAAUUGGUUGGCAUUGUUCGUGUUGAUGUGAACCAGAGGGGUUGUGCUGUUGCUGGUGGUGAAAGUGUGAAUGCUUCUGUAUCAGUUGCCGUUGAUAGUGCAGAACCUUCUGUAGCUCAGGAAUCCCACCAUGUUGUUGCCCCUAGUCGGCAUGAAGAUGCUGAUGUUGACAUUGAAAAGCCAUUGGAGAAUGUCCUUCCCGCUGAUAGUGUUGCUGGUUCUCCUGUUUGUCUAGCGUCCAAAGAUGUUCCUAAUGUAUUCACAGUGGAGCCUCAUGCAGCUGAAUUAUUUGAGGAUGUUGUGGCUGACUGGACUGUUGAAAAUCCAAACAACGUUGAUGUUGCUACAGUAGGGCAGUCCAGUGAGGCUGUGGUGGUUUCGUCGCAACCUAGCCGGGAAAAUGUUAUGGUUAGUUCUGAAGAGCAAGAGCAUGAAUACUCUGACACUGAAGGCAAGUGUUUUGUUUCGAACAGUGAAGUUGAAGUUUUCUCAUUCAUUUUUAAUUACUAUGAUGACGAACUUCCUGUUGUGACACCGUCGAGCAUUGAUCUAGCUCUUCUGAAAAGAUACAAUGAGUUGUACACUGCUGUUACCAGGGUUCGGAGGGACAAAAAGAAGGACAUGAUUGCUUUUAAAAAGUUGGCCGAAAUUACCAUUGGUGAAGUUGGUCAAUCUUUUUGGGAUAAAGGGAUGCUCACUACAGGCCUUGUAGAUCUCGGGGUUUCUUUGCUGGUAGAUAAGUUUAAGGGAUCUCCGACGAUGGUUGUUCCGUACCAUAUUUGUGACAUGGAGAGAGAGGGAGAAGGGGCAGGGAAGCUCACCUUGAACGGUGCAGAGGGGAAGAAGGGGAGCUCGGGGUUGGCGGCGAGGCCGUGCGGCGACCUCCACCCAGCAGACAGCAAGCGCGAUGCGGCGGCAUGCCGAGACAGCAGGGUCGAGGAGCAAAGCUUAGUGCGGCUGCCGCCUGAGUCGCUGCCUAGGUCGCCGCCGCCAUCUCUAUAUGCAGAGCGGCUGUUGUUUUUACGGAUAUCCGUGGAGCGGCUGUUUACACGUGCCAUUAGUAGUUCCCAACCGUUAGCUUAUGUCCACAGUUUCCCCAUUUCCCCCAAAUCCCUACAUAGCCUCCAAAUUCCCUUGCAUGACGCUGACAUUGGGGGAAUGCGGACGAGUGGUGCUGAUGGUUUCGGUGCGGCUGCUCCUGCUCGUAUCGCCGCCACGAUGGCGGUUGCCGCUGAGCACUUGCCUAAGGUCAUCAGAAGGCAGGUGUACUACGGAUCCGAAUCAUCCUGUCAGGAAAGCGAUCUGCCGCCGGAUCCGGAGCUUGACUCCAGACUCCCGCAACACGAGUUCGACUCUGAGUUUUGCGCCAUCGAGAAGUACCAAAAGCUGAGUUGUGUGCACGGGCACACUCCCGCUCGACGUGUAUGCACGGAGGGACUCGACAUUGGCAGGCGGUUUCUCAGCUACCCCUUAGAGGGAUAUGAGGCUUGUGCCUUUCUUAACUGGCUGGAUGAAGAAUGGCAUGGCAGGGCUCGGAGUGUUAUCACCAAGCUCGCAGAAGAUAACAUAAAGCUGAAGAAGAAACUGGCCGAUCUGGAAUUUCCUCUUCUCUGCAUACCCCGCUUAAGUGUCCACCAUCUUCAUCGUCCCCGGCAGGCCGCGCUACACACUGGCACACAAUCUGCAGCCAUGUCGAGCGAUAGCAAGGACGACAGUUCCGCCAGCAGUCACGCGCCCGAUGAUAGGUCAACAUCGGAAUCAUCCUGCUCGUCUUCCAUGAGUCCGAUGUCGAGCCCAGACCUCGAUUAUAUCCGGUUCAUGGAAGGAACGCCGCCUCCGGAGUCGUCAGACGGCAACCAGGCGGACGAGGAGCGGUCGGAGGACGAAGAAGAGGACGACGAUGAUGAUGAGGAGGAAUGGUCGAAUGAGGAGGACAAUGACGCCAGCAACGACGAUGACAACGGCAGCGGCGAUGAAAAGCCAACGGUCAUCGGCAAGAAGUGUCCUCGCCAAGACGAUAUCACGGGGCCAUCCAACAAGAACAACAAGAAGAAGAAGGACUAA
This 3414-nucleotide ribosomal RNA is filed under the name Triticum aestivum (bread wheat). Its description in RNAcentral is "partial small subunit ribosomal RNA". The record is from RNAcentral. Lineage: Eukaryota; Viridiplantae; Streptophyta; Magnoliopsida; Poales; Poaceae.